Molecule: small RNA, 125 nt
Filed under: Marmota monax (woodchuck)
Lineage: Eukaryota; Metazoa; Chordata; Mammalia; Rodentia; Sciuridae
Source: RNAcentral
GCCAGGUGCAGUGGCGUAUACCUGUAAUCCCAGUGGCUCGGGAGGCCGAGACAGAAGGACUUCAAGUUCAAAGACAGCCUCAGCAAUGGUGAGGCACUAAGCAACUCAAUGAGACCCUGUCUCUA